RNAcentral lists this ribosomal RNA (445 nucleotides) under uncultured bacterium. Its description in RNAcentral is "SSU rRNA". It matches the Rfam family "Bacterial small subunit ribosomal RNA", at positions 26 to 518 of the family's 1533-position model. The record is from RNAcentral.
AGAGCGAACGCUGGCGGCAGGCCUAACACAUGCAAGUCGAGCGGCCGUAGCAAUACGGCAGCGGCAGACGGGAGAGUAACACGUGGGAACGCGCCCUUCGGUUCGGAAUAACUCAGGGAAACUUGGGCUAAUACCGGAUACGCCCUUACGGGGAAAGAUUUAUUGCCGAAGGAACGGCCCGCGUCCGAUUAGCUUGUUGGUGAGGUAACGGCUCACCAAGGCGACGAUCGGUAGCUGGUCUGAGAGGAUGACCAGCCUCACUGGGACUGAGACACGGCCCAGACUCCUACGGGAGGCAGCAGUGGGGAAUAUUGGACAAUGGGGGCAACCCUGAUCCAGCAAUGCCGCGUGGAUGAUGAAGGCCUUCGGGUUGUAAAGUCCUUUCGGCGGGGAAAAUGAUGACGGUACCGCAGAGAAGCCCGGCUAACUUCGUGCCAGCAGCCGC